Molecule: ribosomal RNA, 194 nt
Filed under: Collybiopsis subnuda
Lineage: Eukaryota; Fungi; Basidiomycota; Agaricomycetes; Agaricales; Omphalotaceae
Description: partial large subunit ribosomal RNA
Rfam family: Eukaryotic large subunit ribosomal RNA
Source: RNAcentral
UUUGACCUCAAAUCAGGUAGGACUACCCGCUGAACUUAAGCAUAUCAAUAAGCGGAGGAAAAGAAACUAACAAGGAUUCCCCUAGUAACUGCGAGUGAAGAGGGAAAAGCUCAAAUUUAAAAUCUGGCGGUCUCCGACUGUCCGAGUUGUAAUUUAGAGAAGUGUUACCCGUGCUGGACCGUGUACAAGUCUCC